AGAGCCGGAGACCAGCAUGUGAGAACGGAAGCAGAAGCUGAAGUGCUGGGGGGCCACGAGCUGAGGAAUGCAAGGAGCUUGUAGAAGCUGGAAAAGGCUAGGAACGGAUUCUUCUCUAGAGUGUCCAGAAGGAACACAACUCUGCCAUCACCUUGUUUUAAGUCGAGUGAGACUGAUUUUGGCCUACUGACCUCCAAAACUGGCCUGUGAGGAUUCUCAGCCUUCGUUCAGGUUUGGGGAAGAAAGACAACCAGGAGAAGAAAUGUCUAUCAUGGGUGCCCCAUCCCGUGUGCCAGUUCCUUGCCCUCUUGAACGUAAACCAGGAGCAUAUGGAUCCUAUGUGCUAAGAGACUAAGAUUUUUUUUAUUGCUUUAAUUUUCUGCUGAGUGUCUACCGCCUUGAUGACCAAGAAAAGCUACACAUGCUGAGAAUGAACUAAUCUACCAGAUUUUUAUCCUCUUUUGAAUACCAAACUAACCAGCAACCACUCAGUUUAGAAGCGCAGGGCCCCUUCCCAUGACCCUGUCUGGCUACUGCCUGCGCAUCACGAAGCUGCCUGGAAAAGUGAAAAAAAAGUCUCGAGUGACCACAGACUGCCCUUUAUACAGAAAGCAGAGUGAAGCUUCAAAAGUAACUAACUGCCAAAGACG
This 650-nucleotide long non-coding RNA is filed under the name Equus asinus (donkey). RNAcentral describes it as "lncRNA (ENSEASG00005030258.1)". Lineage: Eukaryota; Metazoa; Chordata; Mammalia; Perissodactyla; Equidae. The record is from RNAcentral.